RNAcentral lists this unclassified non-coding RNA (812 nucleotides) under Hevea brasiliensis (rubber tree). Lineage: Eukaryota; Viridiplantae; Streptophyta; Magnoliopsida; Malpighiales; Euphorbiaceae. The record is from RNAcentral.
AUUUGGCCUUCACUUAAUUGCUUUAAGGGCUGCCAUAUGAUUACUACAUGGGGGAGUGGAAUGGGGAUUGAUAGCAUUUCUGAUUCCUCUGGAUUUUGUUUUUCCUCUUCCUGAAGUUAUCCAAGUAUUUCUGCAUAUGCCCUUGUUUAAUGAUCAGGAUGUUUCCCUUUCCUCCUGGAGGGUUGUUAUGUGGGGUAUUAUAAUCAAGUUAUAUGUGAUGACCCAAAAGGACAACUUUAUUUAUUUAUUUAUUUGGGGUUUAUUUGGGUUUCAGUUGGUUGUUUAGUAUGUUACACAGAGUGCUGCUAUAAGCUAGCCAUAACGUGUUCCUAUGGAGAGAUUUGACUUGUCCAGCCUAUGACUAAUUCAAACAGACUGCAAUUGCAUAAUGAGAGACUUUCUUGAAAGCUUUAUCGCUCUGUACAUACACAUGCACAGAUAUUACAAAGAAAAAGGCUUUUGGAAGUGAACUUUGUUGCUACCUUGCACUUCCAAAGUUGUGUUUCAAACACUGUUCAUGUUCACUUAGUGGAUGUUAUAAUUUGUGAGAACAACCAAUAGUGAACCAUAUUUUGCACAUCCUGGUAAGCCUUUUGAAAUCGUUCAAAGAUUCAUUCUUGUACUCCUGGUGCAUGCUUUCUCGUUUACAUCUUUUUAGUGGACUUUAGCUUUGAAACUAUGGCUUCAAGAGUCCAGGUAACCAUUCUGCUAGGCCAAGUUAGAAUAAAGGAAUCAUGGUCAUAAAAUGAAGCCUGUUGACCUGAUCUUGAAUUGUGGCCUGGUGUGAAAUUUGGCUGCUGUUCAAAUGUGAG